This 375-nucleotide ribosomal RNA is filed under the name uncultured bacterium. RNAcentral describes it as "bacterial SSU rRNA". It matches the Rfam family "Bacterial small subunit ribosomal RNA", at positions 32 to 419 of the family's 1533-position model. The record is from RNAcentral.
AAUCAACGCUGGCGGCGUGCCUAACACAUGCAAGUCGAACGAGAAAGGGGAGCAAUCCCUGAGUACAGUGGCGACCGGGUGAGUAACACGUGACUACCUACCCUUGAGUGGGGAUAACCUCGGGAAACCGAGGCUAAUACCGCAUAAUAUCGCAAGAUCAAAGGAGCAAUCCGCUCUUGGAGGGGGUCGCGGCUGAUUAGCUGGUUGGUAGGGUAAUGGCCUACCAAGGCGAAGANCGGUAUCCGGCCUGAGAGGGCGCACGGACACACUGGAACUGAAACACGGUCCAGACUCCUACGGGAGGCAGCAGUGGGGAAUUUUGCGCAAUGGGGGAAACCCUGAUCCAGCGAUGCCGCGUGUGUGAAGAAGGCCUGC